AACAGUGCUUCUCCUUGCCCCAGGGCACGUGGCCUGACAGCCUUCCAGUCUAGCCCGUGGCUCCCAUGUCACGUGCCUCUCCCCUCCGUGCCAUCUGUUUCCUUACUACCCGAACAGAUCCUACAGAUCAUUAAAAUUGGGAGGAACAGAACAUGCAGGGGCAUCUUCGGGGAGUGACCGAAAAUAAGCAUUAUUCGUCAACAGGACAACUAGGCCGUGAUGAAGAUGAUGGAGAGAAACCGAUGUGUUAAUGGACACACAGUGCAAAAUCAAAGUCUUUUUUUUAAAAAAUGAAGUAAAAGAGCUAAAAGUAAAACAAGUCACCAUUCCUUUACUGGAAUUUCUCUCCAUUCUCUUUGAAGUGAGAUUAGCAUUAGUGAUGUAUGAAUAAUGGACUAAUGGUCGACCCCAAAAUGUGGCAGCCCCAGGAAGAGAAAUUAAAAUCUUCCCCUGGCUAUUUGGUAAUUUUUCCAUUACUGGAUAUAUAAGCUGUUAAGUCACAUGGAUUAUUUUCUAGAAACAAGUUAUUGAUGAUCAUUUAAAAAUACGAGUGUAUAUGGAUUGUGCUUUAACAUCUUACUUCUGGAAACGCAAAUGCAAAAUGAGGUGGCUGUGAAAUGGCCCGAAGGAUGCAGUUCUGAGUGCUGUGUGAGCAAGAUUCUCCGAGGAAAAGACACAUGGAGAAACAGACUCCAAACUCUAGCACCUGCCCUGGAAAGAACAGCCAUCUCUCACCUCUCGGAUAUUCUGCAGCCCUAACUGAACCCUGGUGGACAAUACAACAAAUCGACUAUGUUUCCAUGAACCCAUUUUGGUUAACUGCCAAUAAAUAAAUAAAUAAAUAAAUAAAUAAAUAAAUA
This 860-nucleotide long non-coding RNA is filed under the name Vulpes vulpes (red fox). Its description in RNAcentral is "lncRNA (ENSVVUG00000008226.1)". Lineage: Eukaryota; Metazoa; Chordata; Mammalia; Carnivora; Canidae. The record is from RNAcentral.